CGACCCCAGGUCAGGCGGGAUCACCCGCUGAGUUUAAGCAUAUCAAUAAGCGGAGGAGAAGAAACUUACAAGGAUUCCCCUAGUAACGGCGAGCGAACCGGGAUCAGCCCAGCUUGAGAAU
This 121-nucleotide ribosomal RNA is filed under the name Meliosma occidentalis. Its description in RNAcentral is "partial 26S ribosomal RNA". It matches the Rfam family "Eukaryotic large subunit ribosomal RNA", at positions 1 to 121 of the family's 3401-position model. Lineage: Eukaryota; Viridiplantae; Streptophyta; Magnoliopsida; Proteales; Sabiaceae. The record is from RNAcentral.